GUGGAUUGAGUGAAUUCGCUGGGUUUAUAUUAUGCUGUGGUUUCGAAGCGGCUUGAUUGAAAAAAGAAAACAUAACCCUACUUAUGACAGUUCUUGCAGUGAUUCAAUAAUGGUUAAUAAAAACAUUUGUUGAAAUUAUAAAAUUUCGAAGCCUCUGCGUACCGGGUUUUUUUUACUUUUUUUUUUAAUUUAAGGACAGUUAUUUAAGUUUUUUUACAUGGCUGAUAGCGAAAAUGGUAGUUCUAGUCAGAACUCACUUGUAGUUAAACCAAUAAAUUUGGAAUGUAAAAAUUUAUAUGAUUACCUAAAAACAAGAUCAAGAUCGACUUUAGAAAAACUCUACAAUCACCCAACGAUUUGUUUAGCUGUGUACAGAGAAUUACCAGAGCUGGCAAGACAGUAUGUAAUACGUAUCUUAUUUGUUGAACAACCAGUUCCUCAAGCAGUUGUAGCUUCAUGGGGUGCUCAGGCUUUUUCAAAAGAACACAUUUAUGUAAGCAAAGUUCUAAGUGAACUUUCAGUGUGGCAAGAAGCAGCAAUUCCUGGUGGAUUGUUAGGUUGGAUUCUCUCAGUAACAUUUAAAAGAAAUCUUAAACUAGCUUUACUUGGAGGUGGAAAACCAUGGAGUAUGUCUUCAGCUUUGGAGGUUGACAGUAAGGCUAGAGACGUAUCAUUUCUUGAUGCUUAUUCAUUGGAAAGAUGGGAGUGUGUGUUACACUAUAUGGUGGGAUCACAACAACAAGAAGGCAUCUCAGCAGAUGCUGUACGAAUUUUAUUACACGCGGGUUUGAUGAAAAGAGACGAGGACGAUGGAAGCCCUGUGAUAACGCGUCAGGGUUUUCAGUUUCUUUUGUUAGAUCGCCAGGCACAAGUGUGGCAUUUUUUACUUCAGUAUUUGGACACCGUCGAACAACGGGGACUAAAUCUUGUCGAAUGUUUAACGUUUUUGUUCCAGCUGUCAUUCAGCACUUUGGGUAAAGACUACAGCACGGAAGGUAUGAGUCCUGGACUUCUAAUAUUCUUACAACAUCUGCGCGAGUUUGGUUUGGUGUAUCAGCGAAAAAGAAAAGUGGGACGGUUUUAUCCAACGCGCUUAGCUUUAAAUAUAACAUCAAUGCAGAACAGUGAAGGUCCAGUUUUAGAAGAAGAUACGCCAAAAGGUAAUAUUGUUGUAGAAACUAACUAUAGAGUAUACGCAUAUACCGAUUCCAACCUUCAAGUUGCUUUGAUUGGCUUAUUUACAGAAUUGUUGUAUAGAUUUCCAAAUUUAGUGGUUGGGGUAAUAACACGCGACUCCAUAAGACAAGCGUUAAAAGGCGGUAUCACUGCCGAUCAAAUAAUAGGUUAUCUUAAACAACAUGCGCAUACGCAGAUGCUACAAGGUGAAGUGAAACAACCUUUGCCACCUACUGUGGUUGAUCAGAUUAAACUGUGGGAAAUCGAGCGUAACCGGUUGGCCUAUUCAGAAGGAGUUUUGUAUAGUCAAUUUUUAUCACAGGCUGACUUUAAUAUAUUGAAAGAAUAUGCAGAAACAAACGGUUAUCUGAUUUGGUGCAACAAGGAGAAAAGAACGUUAAUUAUUAAUAAAUCUGCACAUGAUGAUGUGAAGAAAUUUUGGAAAAGAUACUCCAAAGGAAGUUAAUUUAUUGAUGAACUAUAUGUAAAUAUAGUUAUAAGUUACGCAUGUCUAUAAUUUUAUGCAGUUUGGUACUUUUCAAUUGCUACGACUGUACUAUAAGAUCGAAAAAAAGGGCUCGAGUAGACCAUGGAAUUUAUUUUCUUGUUACGACCUUGUGACUGUGUUCCUUGUUUAGUUUGAUUUUGACAUUUAUGAUCAAGUGAAGUGUCAAAUACGUACGAUGCCAAAAUCAUUAUUUCAAAAUAGUUAUUUACUGUACUGUUGUUCAUGUCCUCAUUUUUAUACUGCGGUUUGGGGUAACUCCUGGAGUUCCCUCUUCAGUUCCUCACCUAGGGUACGACGUCAAUGGAGCAUAUCAUCGAAAAAAUUACCACUCUAAAUGUGGUGAUUGAACAAAACUUAUUGUUUUGUCCACAU
Molecule: RNA transcript, 2056 nt
Organism: Zophobas morio
Lineage: Eukaryota; Metazoa; Arthropoda; Insecta; Coleoptera; Tenebrionidae
Gene: mrn
Gene name: marionette
Exons: 10
Source: RefSeq, a predicted model, not a curated record